This 300-nucleotide ribosomal RNA is filed under the name uncultured bacterium. RNAcentral describes it as "bacterial SSU rRNA". It matches the Rfam family "Archaeal small subunit ribosomal RNA", at positions 745 to 1044 of the family's 1478-position model. The record is from RNAcentral.
UCCUAGCUGUAAACGAUGCGGGCUAGGUGUUGGUAUUACUGCGAGUGAUGCCAGUGCCGAAGGGAAGCCGUUAAGCCCGCCAUCUGGGGAGUACGGUCGCAAGGCUGAAACUUAAAGGAAUUGGCGGGGGAGCACCGCAACGGGAGGAGCGUGCGGUUCAAUUGGAUUCAACGCCGGACAACUCACCAGGAGCGACGGUUACAUGAAGGCCAGGUCGACGACUUUGCCUGAUUUUCCGAGAGGUGGUGCAUGGCCGUCGUCAGUUCGUACCGUAGGGCGUUCUCUUAAGUGAGAUAACGA